Molecule: long non-coding RNA, 193 nt
Organism: Telopea speciosissima
Lineage: Eukaryota; Viridiplantae; Streptophyta; Magnoliopsida; Proteales; Proteaceae
Exons: 3
Source: RefSeq, a predicted model, not a curated record
AUGAUAAGAUGGAGAAUUCCGAACUAUUAACAAUUUUCGACUUAGCCGCCUUCCUAAAAUAUCGGUUGAGUGGGAUGAAAUAAAUGCUGCAUGGGGUCAGGCAUGCCUUCUCCUCCACACAGUGGCUCAGUAUUUCCGGCAAAAAUUCCCAUAUCGAAUAACAAUUCUUCCUCUUGGAAGUUACCCUCGAAUU